GUACACGCCCAGGAAUAAGGGGAAUUCCUCCUCCCAUAGACAGUUAAAGAGAUUGCUGUUGAAUUAAUUUAGUUGUUUACAAUAUAUUCAACAAAAAAAAAAAUUUAAGAAAACUAUGUGAUAGUCUGCGUUAUAAUGCAUUUGGCACUGGUGGUGUUGGUUUAUCUCGCCGCAGUCUUGGUUCCAGUGCUGGGCUGUCUUCCAAAGGAAUAUGAAACAAGGGAUGGGCAGUGCUGUCCGAUGUGCAGCGAAGGUACAGUUGUCAGAAUAGACUGCACACCGCAGUCGGGCACGCGGUGCAGCCCGUGUGUGAAUGGGACCUUUAUGAAAAAACCCAACGGCCUGCGUAGCUGCAUCCCCUGCAUCGUCUGUGACCAAGGUCUCUUUGUCAAACAGGCGUGCACAGCAACGACUGACACAGUCUGUGAUGUUUUAAGUGGGCAUUUCUGCAAAGAGUUGAUAGAUGAUACAGGAUGUAGUGUGGCACAGAAACACACGCACUGUGCACCUGGUGAGAGGAUAAAAGAACCAGGAACCCGGCAAACUGACACAGUGUGUGAACAGUGUCAGCCGGGCUUCUUUUCAACGGAUGGAGUGAAUUGCACCAAUUGGACGAUUUGCUUAGAUACCCAGGUGAAGGUCAGAGAAGGAAGCAGGAUCAGUGAUGUUAUAUGUGGAACGGCCUCAAGACAGCACUACUGUUACAUCCCUGUAAUAUUAAUAGCAUUAACACUCGCUGGGCUUGUGAUCACAGGCAGACUUUUACCAAAAGAAAUAAAAGUAAGUUCUCCGUAUCUGUUUAUCACAUUUUGCACCCCAUGAAAUACUACUUAGAAAUGUGUUAAUAUCAUUUUGAUUUCCUUUUUUCUCCAACUACAUAGACUCCAGUAAUGGAAGACGCUGACUAGGUUUCCGUUUAUUAUUCCAUUUAUUCCGACAGUUCGAACACCAAAGUUAAAAACAUCAGUGAUUAUAUAGAUUAGAAUAGAUUGUUUUGGUGUAUGUUGCUUAGUGUUGGGGUCUUAGAAAUGUUGGCACCUUUUCAAAAUAUUACUACUAAUAAUAAUAAUAAAUAGAAUUUUCUGUAAGUUUUAACACUAAAUAAAAUAAAAAUAGUCUUAACAAGUUUACAACUACCCAUGCAGCUGAGUUCUAACAGACUAAUCUACAGAUAUCUUGUAUAAUCU
This is an RNA transcript of Etheostoma cragini (Arkansas darter), 1187 nucleotides long. It is a transcript of the gene named tumor necrosis factor receptor superfamily member 14-like, with no coding region annotated. The transcript is spliced from 8 exons. Lineage: Eukaryota; Metazoa; Chordata; Actinopteri; Perciformes; Percidae. The record is from RefSeq and is a predicted model, not a curated record.